AUACGGAGGGUGCAAGCGUUAUUCGGAAUCACUGGGCGUAAAGGACGCGUAGGCGGGUUGGCAAGUCAGAUGUGAAAUCCUACAGCUUAACUGUAGAACUGCAUUUGAAACUGCUAACCUAGAGUAUGAGAGGGGGAGAUGGAAUUAGUGGUGUAGGGGUAAAAUCCGUAGAUAUCACUAGGAAUACCGAAAGCGAAGGCGAUCUCCUGGAACAUAACUGACGCUAAGGCGUGAAAGCGUGGGGAGCAAACAGAAUUAGAAACCCCAGUAGUCC
This 274-nucleotide ribosomal RNA is filed under the name uncultured bacterium. RNAcentral describes it as "partial 16S ribosomal RNA". It matches the Rfam family "Bacterial small subunit ribosomal RNA", at positions 523 to 796 of the family's 1533-position model. The record is from RNAcentral.